Molecule: ribosomal RNA, 421 nt
Filed under: uncultured bacterium
Lineage: Bacteria
Description: bacterial SSU rRNA
Rfam family: Bacterial small subunit ribosomal RNA
Source: RNAcentral
CGGCAUGCCUAACACAUGCAAGUCGAACGAGACCUUCGGGUCUAGUGGCGCACGGGUGCGUAACGCGUGAGAAUCUGCCCUUGGGUUCGGAAUAACAGCGAGAAAUUGCUGCUAAUACCGGAUGAUGACGUAAGUCCAAAGAUUUAUCGCCCAAGGAUGAGCCCGCGUAGGAUUAGCUAGUUGGUGAGGUAAAGGCUCACCAAGGCGACGAUCCUUAGCUGGUCUGAGAGGAUGAUCAGCCACACUGGGACUGAGACACGGCCCAGACUCCUACGGGAGGCAGCAGUGGGGAAUAUUGGACAAUGGGCGAAAGCCUGAUCCAGCAAUGCCGCGUGAGUGAUGAAGGCCUUAGGGUUGUAAAGCUCUUUUACCCGGGAUGAUAAUGACAGUACCGGGAGAAUAAGCUCCGGCUAACUCCGUG